GCGCUAGUAGUUCAGUGGUAGAACGCUGUCCUGAUAAGACAGAGGUCGUAGGUCCGAUUCCUACCUAGCGCA
RNAcentral lists this transfer RNA (72 nucleotides) under Minisyncoccota bacterium. Its description in RNAcentral is "tRNA-Ile". It matches the Rfam family "tRNA". From Rfam's summary of the family: Transfer RNA (tRNA) molecules are approximately 80 nucleotides in length. Their secondary structure includes four short double-helical elements and three loops (D, anti-codon, and T loops). The record is from RNAcentral. Lineage: Bacteria; Bacillati; Minisyncoccota.